This 66-nucleotide transfer RNA is filed under the name Microphor holosericeus. RNAcentral describes it as "tRNA-Tyr". Lineage: Eukaryota; Metazoa; Arthropoda; Insecta; Diptera; Empididae. The record is from RNAcentral.
GAUUAAAUGGCUGAAAUAUAGGUAAUAGAUUGUAAAUUUAUUUAUGAGAAAAUCUCUCUUUAAUCA